This 254-nucleotide ribosomal RNA is filed under the name uncultured bacterium. RNAcentral's name for it is "partial 16S ribosomal RNA". It matches the Rfam family "Bacterial small subunit ribosomal RNA", at positions 524 to 776 of the family's 1533-position model. The record is from RNAcentral.
UACGGAGGAUCCAAGCGUUAUCCGGAAUCAUUGGGUUUAAAGGGUCCGUAGGCGGUUUAAUAAGUCAGUGGUGAAAGCCCAUCGCUCAACGGUGGAACGGCCAUUGAUACUGUUAGACUUGAAUUAUUAGGAAGUAACUAGAAUAUGUAGUGUAGCGGUGAAAAUGCUUAGAGAUUACAUGGAAUACCAAUUGCGAAGGCAGGUUACUACUAAUGGAUUGACGCUGAUGGACGAAAGCGUGGGUAGCGAACAGG